RNAcentral lists this ribosomal RNA (305 nucleotides) under uncultured bacterium. RNAcentral's name for it is "bacterial SSU rRNA". It matches the Rfam family "Bacterial small subunit ribosomal RNA", at positions 337 to 658 of the family's 1533-position model. The record is from RNAcentral.
UCCUACGGGGCGCAGCAGUGGGGAAUAUUGCACAAUGGGGGAAACCCUGAUGCAGCAACGCCGCGUGAGUGAGGAAGUAUUUCUGUAUGUAAAGCUCUAUCAGCAGGGAAUAGAAAAGAAGGUACCUGAAAAAGAAGCCCCGGCUAACUACGUGCCAGCAGCCGCGGUAAUACGUAGGUGGCAAGCGUUGUCCGGAUUUACUGGGUGUAAAGGGCGUGCAGCCGGAGAGACAAGUCAGAUGUGAAAUCCACGGGCUCAACCCGUGAACUGCAUUUGAAACUGUUUCCCUUGAGUGUCGGAGAGGU